GAUGAACGCUGGCGGCGUGCCUAAUACAUGCAAGUCGAGCGAACAGACGAGGAGCUUGCUCCUCUGACGUUAGCGGCGGACGGGUGAGUAACACGUGGAUAACCUACCUAUAAGACUGGGAUAACUUCGGGAAACCGGAGCUAAUACCGGAUAAUAUAUUGAACCGCAUGGUUCAAUAGUGAAAGACGGUUUUGCUGUCACUUAUAGCUGGAUCCGCGCCGCAUUAGCUAGUUGGUAAGGUAACGGCUUACCAAGGCAACGAUGCGUAGCCGACCUGAGAGGGUGAUCGGCCACACUGGAACUGAGACACGGUCCAGACUCCUACGGGAGGCAGCAGUAGGGAAUCUUCCGCAAUGGGCGAAAGCCUGACGCAGCCACGCCGCGUGAGUGAUGAAGGUCUUCGGAUCGUAAAACUCUUUUAUUAGGGAAGAACAAAUGUGUAAGUAACUCUGCACGUCUUGACGGUACCUAAUCAGAAAGCCACGGCUAACUACGUG
Molecule: ribosomal RNA, 497 nt
Filed under: uncultured bacterium
Lineage: Bacteria
Description: partial 16S ribosomal RNA
Rfam family: Bacterial small subunit ribosomal RNA
Source: RNAcentral